This 451-nucleotide ribosomal RNA is filed under the name uncultured bacterium. RNAcentral's name for it is "bacterial SSU rRNA". It matches the Rfam family "Bacterial small subunit ribosomal RNA", at positions 8 to 507 of the family's 1533-position model. The record is from RNAcentral.
AGAGUUUGAUCAUGGCUCAGAACGAACGCUGGCGGCAUGCCUAACACAUGCAAGUCGAACGAUGCCUUCGGGCAUAGUGGCGCACGGGUGCGUAACGCGUGGGAAUCUGCCCUUGGGUUCGGAAUAACUCAGAGAAAUUUGAGCUAAUACCGGAUGAUGACGUAAGUCCAAAGAUUUAUCGCCAAGGAUGAGCCCGCGUAAGAUUAGCUAGUUGGUGGGUAAAGGCCUACCAAGGCGACGAUCUUUAGCUGGUCUGAGAGGAUGAUCAGCCACACUGGGACUGAGACACGGCCCAGACUCCUACGGGAGGCAGCAGUGGGGAAUAUUGGACAAUGGGCGAAAGCCUGAUCCAGCAAUGCCGCGUGAGUGAUGAAGGCCUUAGGGUUGUAAAGCUCUUUUACCAGGGAUGAUAAUGACAGUACCUGGAGAAUAAGCUCCGGCUAACUCCGUG